UUGUCACGUCAACGCCAUUAUAAAAUAAAAUUAUCCAAAAACUGUCUUCAAUGAUAACCAUUCCCUUUUCCAACAUAUUUACAAUGACACCCUCCUAUCCACAUCUUAUUUACUACGACAUGCCACUCAACAUUAACGCUUUCAAAUUACCAACCACAUGCAUUUUCCUAACCUCCUUCCUACAAUAACUUUUACCACCAACCACCACCGGUGAAUACUCAAACCCUAACAAACUCUCACAGUUAAACUCACCGUUACCGUCACCGUAAUGCCUCAUCUCCGUUAAUUUCAACGGGUUCGUCGUUCGUUUAUACGAUCCUAACCAUUUCGUUUGCAUGUAACCGUUUUUUCUCCACGGUGAAACCACAAUGUUUCUAGCUUUUAAAGAGUCUCGCAUCGCGGCGCACAUUAGCCUCACCAGUUUCUUCAACUCGUUUGGUUUGAUUACUGUGAUUUUAGGUAUUAUUUCGAGCAAGGACUGGUAGGUUUUUGUUGGUCGUGCGAUUGUGAAUUCGGAUACGAACGCUGGAUCGAUGAUGUAGCGGUUGCUGGAGAUUAGAAUGUCGAUGUAUUCGUACUCGCCGGCGGGAUACCGUACGGUUUUCUCCCAUCGUGACUUGCAGAGACCUCAUCAAAUCCUCUCUGACGAAGUACGGUCAUCAGAUUCCGUUUAAACCCCUCCGACGAAGUAUUUUCAAAACUCCGGCAUACUUUUUCCACCUCGAAACCAAUCGCACGCUUCAUACGGUCAUCGUCAUCAUCCGUACAACCGCCGAUGAGAUCCAUCAACAUUUCCUUCACGUCAGAAUCCGUACCGUAAAAACUCUCCGCCUUCUGAUACUCCUCCGUCUCUUCCAGAUCAUCGUGUUCAAUGCAGGAUUUACCUCGAUCAUUAUCAUCAUCUUCUCCGUCGAAAAACGAGUCAACUAGAACUGAAAGAUCUGUGACUGAGUUCGCGGAAUGCUCGCUUCCACUGCUCUGGCAUAACCGUGCCCUAGCGUCGUCAUCUAAAGCCGUUGUUAUCCUCUUGAAUCUCACCGCCAUUUUCUCUGAAUUUCUUUUAUAACUCGAACUUGAGAACUCA
Molecule: long non-coding RNA, 1084 nt
Filed under: Helianthus annuus (common sunflower)
Lineage: Eukaryota; Viridiplantae; Streptophyta; Magnoliopsida; Asterales; Asteraceae
Description: sRNA HanXRQr2_Chr10g0451541
Source: RNAcentral